Molecule: ribosomal RNA, 326 nt
Filed under: uncultured eukaryote
Lineage: Eukaryota
Description: partial 18S ribosomal RNA
Rfam family: Eukaryotic small subunit ribosomal RNA
Source: RNAcentral
CCCUUAGAUGUUCUGGGCCGCACGCGCGCUACGCUGACGCAUUCAACGAGUUCCUACCUUGGCCGAGAGGCCUGGGCAAUCUUUUGAACUUGCAUCGUGAUAGGGAUAGAUUAUUGCAAUUAUUAAUCUUGAACGAGGAAUUCCCAGUAAACGCAGAUCAUCAAUCUGCAUUGAUUACGUCCCUGCCCUUUGUACACACCGCCCGUCGCACCUACCGAUUGAAUGGUCCGGUGAAGCCUCGGGAUUGUGGUUAGUUUCCUUCAUUGGAAGUUAGCCGCGAGAACUUGUCUAAACCUUAUCAUUUAGAGGAAGGUGAAGUCGUAACA